RNAcentral lists this ribosomal RNA (402 nucleotides) under Triticum aestivum (bread wheat). Its description in RNAcentral is "partial small subunit ribosomal RNA". Lineage: Eukaryota; Viridiplantae; Streptophyta; Magnoliopsida; Poales; Poaceae. The record is from RNAcentral.
AUGUGUUGUUCCAAGGGAUUUUUGAAUGGGCUGCCAACACCAGGAACAUGUCCUUCCUGCAGCCCGUAUUCAUUCUUUUCUUUUUCCAGCAUAAGAUGCGAUCGAUGCACCACGCGCAUGUCUUUGACAAAACGCUUUAGGAGCGAUGGUGUUCACGUGCAUGUGAUGGAGACCGGGAAUAUUUUGUUUCUCGCAUCAACUGGACGGAUCGAUGCGUCUCGGCAAGUUCUUUCCUCCUCAUCGCUAUCCAUCAUCUUUUGGACUUCCAUUUCUCCUUUUUUUAUAUUAUUUAUUUAUUUCGAAAAGGAGAAAGUGCCACCGGCGUCUGCGUUCCAGAAACUGCUAGUAGUACAAACAUCGCAUCGCAUCUCCUCGUUUGGAGAUGUAUACCGUUCUAAUUGA